CUUUACUUCUGACAGAGAAAACAUGCAGUGACUUUUAUGUUUAAUACAUUCAUUCUGAAGUUGUUAGGUCAGAAGAGCA
Molecule: long non-coding RNA, 79 nt
Organism: Chiroxiphia lanceolata (lance-tailed manakin)
Lineage: Eukaryota; Metazoa; Chordata; Aves; Passeriformes; Pipridae
Exons: 3
Source: RefSeq, a predicted model, not a curated record